UACGUAGGGAGCAAGCGUUGUCCGGAAUCAUUGGGCGUAAAGCGCGCGUAGGCGGCCCCGUAAGUCCGCUGUGAAAGUCAAAGGCUCAACCUUUGAAAGCCGGUGGAUACUGUGGGGCUAGAGUCCGGAAGAGGCGAGUGGAAUUCCUGGUGUAGCGGUGGAAUGCGCAGAUAUCAGGAGGAACACCAAUAGCGAAGGCAGCUCGCUGGGACGGUACUGACGCUAAGGUGCGAAAGCGUGGGGAGCGAACAGG
Molecule: ribosomal RNA, 253 nt
Filed under: uncultured bacterium
Lineage: Bacteria
Description: partial 16S ribosomal RNA
Rfam family: Bacterial small subunit ribosomal RNA
Source: RNAcentral